Molecule: long non-coding RNA, 293 nt
Filed under: Nicotiana benthamiana
Lineage: Eukaryota; Viridiplantae; Streptophyta; Magnoliopsida; Solanales; Solanaceae
Description: long non-coding RNA (NBEN_LNC008767)
Source: RNAcentral
AUUGAUAUGUGAUCUUUGGUGCAUUAUCUUCCUCACGUGCUCUGAAUGUGCACUGGUUGAUUCAGACUGUGUAGUACAACAUGGACCAGGUCCUUCUAUCAGUUCAUUUGUCAGUCUUCAAAACUCAACUGAAACUUGGGCCAACAAUUUCCCCCCUUUUGAUGAUGACAAACUAUGUGCUUAUUGAUAUCAGGGAACCUGUAAACUUGGCUGAACCCAACACUUAGAAAAUGAUUUAACUUAUCAUUAAAGAGGCAGAUUUAGUUCAGACUAAAAAAUUUUAAAGCACAAUA